RNAcentral lists this ribosomal RNA (494 nucleotides) under uncultured bacterium. RNAcentral describes it as "partial 16S ribosomal RNA". It matches the Rfam family "Bacterial small subunit ribosomal RNA", at positions 28 to 507 of the family's 1533-position model. The record is from RNAcentral.
GACGAACGCUGGCGGCGCGCUUAACACAUGCAAGUCGAACGGAAAGGCCUGCUUUCCCUUGUGGAUUGCGGGUACUCGAGUGGCGAACGGGUGAGUAACACGUGAGUGAUCUGCCCCCAACUUGGGUAUAAGCCUGGGAAACUGGGUCUAAUUCCCGAUAGGACUGCAGGGUGGUGCCUGUGGUGGAAAACGAUUUUCUAGUGGUUGGGGAUGAGCUCGCGGCCUAUCAGCUUGUUGGUGGGGUGAUGGCCUACCAAGGCGGCGACGGGUAGCCGGCCUGAGAGGGUGGACGGCCACAUUGGGACUGAGAUACGGCCCAGACUCCUACGGGAGGCAGCAGUGGGGAAUAUUGCACAAUGGGCGGAAGCCUGAUGCAGCGACGCCGCGUGGGGGAUGACGGCCUUCGGGUUGUAAACUCCUUUCGACCGCGAGGAAGCCACCUGGUUGGAAGGGUGGUGACGGUAGUGGUAGAAGAAGCACCGGCUAACUACGUG